UUUUAGAACUUUUUGACCACUGGGAUUUCUCAUGCCCGAUUCCUUUCCCCCAAUUCUACAUGAAAAUGGAUGACUGGGAUUAAGAUCCCUGCUUUAGAAAAUGUCAUAUACACAAAAUUUUCUUUGAAGCACUUUUUUUUUUUUGUAAAAUCAAAAGAUUUGGGACACCUUUAAUGGUCAUCAAUAGGGAUUUGGUUAAAUAAAUUAUGGUGCAUUCAUUCUGAGGCAGUGAGCUCUGACGCAGAGGGCAUUUGAGCUGGCAGAGGCCAUUGUCAAUGAGAAUGCUCUUUAUAUAGAAGAUGUUCAGGAUAUAUUUUUAAAUAACAAAAGAAGAUCCAGAACAUUUUGUACAGUAUGCUAAUGUUUAUGAAAAAAAUAUAUAUUGUAUGUGCAAAAAGAAGGCAUUGAAGGAAAAAAUGAGAAACUGAUAACUGGUGGUCCAGGAAGGGGACCUUGGUGGCAGAAGGACAGGAGUGGGUGGGAGCCACUGUGAUUUUGAACCAUGAGAAUAUAUUACCUAUUCAAUAAGCAAAUUAAUAGGAUUUAAUUUUAAAAAUCUCUGCUUUAUUUAUCUUGCUAUAAAAUAGGAGUUCAGUUCUCGGCCAUCUCUCUGGUAUAUCUCUAAUAUAUUUGAUGUUCCUGUUAGCUUUUCUGGAAUAUUUCUUGAACAUGGGACAAACAGAGAGGAGCACAGAUUGGAUUUUGCUUAUCUGACAUAUGUUAGAUUUAUUUAUGUGUAUGUCUUCAAAUCUGUGUGUAUAGUGUGUUGCUUGGUCUGUAUAUUCCAAGUCAACCACUAAGGACAGCCAAAGGUGCCAAUGUGGAAAAGGGCCAGAAAUGGCUAAAUCCGUUUUGUGGGCGUGUGUCAGCCAGUCCGCCUGCUUUUAUAGUCACGGUGGGGAGUGGUGUGAGAGAUGACUGAAAGGAGGUUAGGGCCAAAUUAUGAAGGGCUUUGGCAGGUUGCUAGGACACCCAAACCAGGGAGUCUUUACUCUGCCAGACAAGGGGAUCCACUGGGGAUCUGUGAGCAGGGGAGACAGGUGUUCAGAUCAGUGUCUAGAAAGAGGCAAUGCUAGUGGUGUCUGGACAGACCUAGCCAGUGCAGGGGACCCAAGAGAAAAGGCUCUUCGUAUUCGGGUUUUUCUUCACAGGGACAGAAUAUCUCACAUUAGGGGGUCAUUGACACAUAUCAUGCAGUUUAUAUAUAUAGUUAAAAAAUUGAGUAGACUGGAGUUGGAAGGAGGAAUGUAACACAGACUGGGAAAUUAUAUUUGUAAAACCAAUAAUGAACUGUAAGAGGCAUCAGAAAAUAAAAAAAAGCUCAGAUAAGAGAGAAUGUCAGAGUAGCUGCAAGUCUCUCAAAGAAGGCCUGACACAGUCCUCAGCCAGAGCCAAGUCUGCUCAGCUGUGUACUGCAACUCCCAGGGAACUUGUUCCCGCCUUCAUCCAGCUCAGAGAGACAACAGAGCAGAGAAAAUUCCACUCCAGUUACGUGAAUCAAAUAGCCUCUGUCAUCCCUGUCCAGCGGUGCCCUCAGGUUGGUUCCAGCCGCCUUUACGAGGGACCUGCUGGGGAGAAAGGGGAAAGGAAGUAACAGCAUGAGGUUUCAUCCUCAGUUCCUCACUAGUAAACUAGCUGUGGUCUGUUUUGAGGAUUAAAUGAGACAAUGCAUGUGAAGCACUUACCACAGUGCCUGGCCUGUGGUUAAAUCUCAGAAAAUGGCAGUUACCACUGACAAAGCCAUGCAGUAGAAAUAAUAAUUAUUACUGCUUAGUAGAUAAAGAACUAAGGUUCAGAGAGGUUAAGUAACUUGCCCAGAGUUACAUGGCAAGAAAGGGAAAGAGCCUGGAUUUGAAGCCUGGUUGCUCUGGCUUCAAAGCCACUGUUCCUCCUACUGCCUCAAGCUACUUCACAAAUAAAUUUGCAAACCUUAAUUCAAAUCACACCUUAAGAUGCUCAAGGGGUGAAGGGCAGAUACAGUACUUCUAAUUUUCAGAGCAGUAGCUCACGUGGCAUAUUACAGAAAGAGGAGAAAACAAGCAAACAUUUCCAGGGCUUGCAACCC
Molecule: long non-coding RNA, 2065 nt
Organism: Equus caballus (horse)
Lineage: Eukaryota; Metazoa; Chordata; Mammalia; Perissodactyla; Equidae
Source: Ensembl